GCGCAGGGACAGCUGCAUUUCUCGCCGCCCGCCGCUAGGAAGCCGGCCUCGCCUCACUUUGCCCGGGCCUGGGGGCGCAGGCUGGGCGGCGACGGCAGGCGGGGGCGCCUGCUGGGAGCCGAGCGCCUUUCAGGGGGAGGGGAGCUUCGCUUCCUGCCCCCCGCCGAUGUCACAGGUCGGCUCAGCCUUUUUUGGUCCCUCCCGGUCCCCUGGGAGCUGUAUCUCCCGUCAGCUCGGCCAGGGAAAGUUGGGAAUGCGCUGUCCCCGCCCCUGCUCGCCCGCCC
This 284-nucleotide long non-coding RNA is filed under the name Homo sapiens (human). RNAcentral describes it as "HSALNT0243018". The record is from RNAcentral. Lineage: Eukaryota; Metazoa; Chordata; Mammalia; Primates; Hominidae.